Long non-coding RNA from Vidua chalybeata, 480 nucleotides. RefSeq lists it as uncharacterized. Lineage: Eukaryota; Metazoa; Chordata; Aves; Passeriformes; Viduidae. The record is from RefSeq and is a predicted model, not a curated record. The transcript is spliced from 3 exons.
CCACAAAUAUUUUCUAAAAGGCCAGUUAUAUUCCUGAUGAAUGUUGUGCAGUAAGCAUGGCAUCCCAGCGCAGAAAAAUCAGAAGAAAAGUACUAGUUAUUUGGUUUUCUGACAUGAGGUGCAAAUUAAGUUUGUGAGUUUGGGGGAUUUGGAGAGCUCCCAUGAAGACUGUGACCAGUAAGUUUCUUUCUAGGCUGACAGUGCAAAGCCCUGCAGAGCAGCCUCAUUGCCAAGAUCAAAACAGCUUCUUGGAAUUGCACAAGGGCUUAAUCCUUCCCAUACAAUCUUGUCACAGUCUUCCCAAAAUCCUCAAAGGGACCAGGGAGGAUCACUGUUGUUCCUUUCAAGCCCCUAAAAAGAUGAAAACAUGCCACCUUAUUAAAGUAGCAGAAGCAGUUUCCUUACCUUUGAUGCUAUUCCACCAUCAAUGAGUUUCUCACAAAUGGAACACCCCAUCUCUACAGGAUAUAUAUAUAGCAA